ACUAAGAAGAAAAAAGAAGCCAGAAUUGCAGCAUUGUUACUUAAUCCAGGGAACUUUGUUCAACCAAGACCAGCAGGCUCAGCAUGACCAUGCAAAAAAAGCUACCAGGCUUUUAUUGGAAUUCCUGAGUGCCUGUAUCCCUGCCUCAGCCUGGUUUAACUAGCAGUGGACUCUGCCUGGAAAAAUUCCCACUUUAUUCCCUGCCCAUGUUUACUCUGAUCUACUCUAGAGUCACCAGGCCCUACUUCCCUCCACAUAAAUAUAAAUAUAAAGCAUUUCAAGAUGAACAGGGAGGUUGUAAGCCUCACAAAGGAGAGUCCAAAUCCACUUCCAGAGUUUUCUGCUGGAAACCCUUCUCCUUCAAAUUACCAGCCUUGCUGUGGUGAAAAAUUUCAUCAUUACAAAAUUCCUCAGGUGGGAAGGGUUCAAUCCCUUCUUGCUGUAUUUCAGAGGCCAGGAAAGCAGGUCAAUCCAGAGAAAGGAGCAUUUCCUAAACUUAUUUCAACCUAAACUGUCACACAGCCACUUCACAGGCCUGCAGUGACAAGGAUGGGAACACAGCUGGGAAUUGCAGAGAUUGGAAAAGAAGGAGAAGGAGAGUGAGAAUCUGUGUUUUAACAGCCACAUUGAGCAUAAGAAGCACCAGUGCACAGAAAGGCCCAGGAAUAGGAAGAGAAAGUGACAUCACCAUUACUUUACAUCAGUGGAAACUCUUCUUGUUCCAGGCAGUUCCUGCUUUCCUGUAAGGUGGAAGGAUCAGGAUUGAGCAACAGCACCUCCAAAAGCAACCAAACCUCGAGGGCAAGGAACUGGGAAGUGGGUGGGAUCUCUUCCCAGCCAUGACUUUUAUUCAUCCUCCUCCUGGGAAGUGAGGUAACAUUCCAUUUUCAGACAACGUGUUUUGCCUGAUAUCUACAAGAGCCAAACUAAGAACAUCAUGAUUCAUUUAAAAAGCAUCUUUAUUUCACCUGCAAAAACUCGUGUUAUACCAUAAAUCAGGGAAUAAAUGAAAGGUUAAUUAGUGCUGUAA
Molecule: long non-coding RNA, 1030 nt
Organism: Parus major (Great Tit)
Lineage: Eukaryota; Metazoa; Chordata; Aves; Passeriformes; Paridae
Exons: 2
Source: RefSeq, a predicted model, not a curated record